UUUGUUUCCUCAUUUUCAACAUCGCAUUAGGGUUUCUGCAUAUUCUCUCUCUUCUCCGCCGCUUCUCAAGAUCUUCAAAAUAAUCUUCGAAUCUCAAUUGACUGAUAUGAUAAGGUGUUCUUAUGUGUAGUUUGUAGACCCGACAUACGAUUUGUGAUGGUUGAUCUUGAUUUUUUUCCGGUUUUGAUUUGUGAAUCGUUUGAUAUUAUCACCCGGACUGUUUCUUCUCAUCAUUCUCAUUGGAUUCCUAAUUCAUAUCCCUACAACAUCGUCAAUACAUCAGGGUUUUGAAUAAUCUGGUAUCUCCCAAACUUUUUCAGGAUUGCAUUGAGACACUCGACAUCGGCAAAACAGCCACUGCCAAAUCGAAAGGUCAUAACUUUAUCUUAUUCGUAAACGACAACCCCCGUAUGAUUUUUGUCUGAGACUAGGCCCCCAACAGGUGGGAAACGUAUAUGUUCAGUUUCGGGAGGAAGAAUAUGCAGCAAAAGCACUGAAGAACCUUAGUGGAAGAUAUUAUGCUGGUAUACUUGAUGAUCAUCAAGUGAACAUUGGCUCUAAGUGAUGAGGAUCAGGAUGGAAGUUAUGAUGAGUAUGUGUCUGAUGAGAGAUACAGAUCAAUGCUUGGUCAGCAUGUUCAUAAGUACAAAAGAAGGCACAAAUAUAAUAAAUUGUCGGCUUCUGCUUCCACACGAAAUGGUAUGUUUGGCAGCAAGGGUGGUAUUGGAUCAAAGGAUCAUAAAUUCGGGAAUGGUCGUCAAGGAGUACAAAAUAUUGAAACGGUUCCUCAAUACGUAGGGCAUUACAAAGAGGCAGAUUUUUCUUCGGAUUAUGGCUUGGAUAGAUCAGUUUAUGAACCUGCUUAUCUAGAUAUUGGGGAUGGUGUCAGUUACAAGACUGCAGAGAGCUUAUGAAAUGCUAGCUGCCUCAUUAAACUUACCUAAACCAUCGGAUAUGCGAGUGGAGGAGUUUUACUUUACGAGCACCCUUUAUUUGGGCCCAUUAGCUUCAAUGAUGUCUGCUGACAAAAGGUUUGGGCCUAUAAGAGGAUCAGGAAUGGGUGAGCCCAAACCACAAUAUGAAUCACUUUGGGCAAGAUUAAGUUCACAAACAUCAAAUAACUCUGCACAAAAGUUCGGUCUUAAAGUCAGUGAUGCCGCAUUGGAUUCAUAUUCUGCGCCUGAGGGUGCAACUGGUGGUUUUAGACGGUUUAUCAUGUCAGAAAGUGGAGUGCUGCAGGUGCACUAUGUGAAGGUGUUGGAGAAAGGUGACACUUCGAAUUGUUCCGCUUUACUUUGGAAUAAAUUACAAACAGAAAAUAUAACAAGUGUUGCCGCAUAAGCCUCCCAAGGUUUCUUUUUUGUUUUCAAGUUAUUUAAUGUGAGUCUUAUGUGAUUUGUUUUAAUUUCAAGUUUCGAAUAUGAGAUUUUGACUUUCUGGACUUUGGAGACCGUUAUUUUUCCGGUUAAAUCUUUUUGCAGACCCGAUUCCUUUUAUAUAAGUUAUUGAAGUAUAGAUUGAAGCAUGUUUGAUUACUAUUUACUAAGAUCCACACUUCCACUAUAUUUUUAUAUUUAAAUUGCCACCCUAAAGCUUUUGAAACCUAAUUCUUGCUCUUUAUUUCCUAAUUAAAUAUUGUUUAUGGUUGGAUGUGCAGAUUUAUUGUUGAUUUUGUAAUAUUUCUUUAGAUUCUAAUUGUUACAAUUCUAGAUAACAAUGGUUAUCCAAUAUUACGGUUGUUGAUUCGCAUUUCGCAAGGUUUAGGGUUUCGUGUUAACCGGGUGCUCUCUAACCCUAACAUUGAUCGGCCUUUCGUCAACAUUAAAGUGGUCACAAUGAAUACGCGUUGAAGGUGACAGAUGGAUCGAUUGUCAUUUGCUUUGUCCUGGUGUUGAGUCUUAGAAGCUAAAAUUAAGGCAAAGGUUCAGCACUUGGUUUUGGUCGGUGCUAUGCGAGCUCAGGUUUUGGUGAACAUGAUGCAGUAGAAAAGGUUUAAGACGAUACGGACAAUUAUGACGACUUUACGGUUAAUAUAUAGUGUUUCUAUGCUGAAAUUGAUUGAACUUGGAGUAUUUGAUUGAUGAAAUUAGGGUUUUUUAUUUGUUUUAGCUGGAUUGUAUUUUAUGGUGAAAUUGAUUGAAGUGGGAUUAUUUGAUUGAUGAAUGUUGUUUAAAUUGCAGAAGAUGGCAUCCUAUUUCCUUGAAAAUGCUACAAGAAUGUUUAAAAGCUGCUUUGUAUAGUAAGAAGCAAUUGUGGCUGCAAUUUAAUGGAGAUGUUACACAAUGAACCGAACUAAUUCAAUGGGAGUUGAUAACAGCUUAAGGCUGGAUGAAUCUAGGAAAAAAUUCAACGUCAAAGUAGUGUUGAUGCGCCGAGGAGAUCUCCGGUUUUGUAGGUGUAAGGCCAACUAAUGUCUGUAGGUGUGUUGAAGUAAAAAACGACUAUUUAGGGUUUGUUGAUUUGAAUUGUAAUUGAAGAAUUUCAUCUUCCAAGUCAUAUAGUUGAAAAUGACGUCAAUUCAAGUUCCACGUCAAUUUUAA
Molecule: long non-coding RNA, 2540 nt
Organism: Helianthus annuus (common sunflower)
Lineage: Eukaryota; Viridiplantae; Streptophyta; Magnoliopsida; Asterales; Asteraceae
Exons: 10
Source: RefSeq, a predicted model, not a curated record